RNAcentral lists this long non-coding RNA (407 nucleotides) under Brassica napus (rape). RNAcentral's name for it is "long non-coding RNA (BNAP_LNC009446)". Lineage: Eukaryota; Viridiplantae; Streptophyta; Magnoliopsida; Brassicales; Brassicaceae. The record is from RNAcentral.
GGUGCAGACUCAGAUGCGCAACAAAGAGGGAGAUAGAAAACGUGCUUACUUAACCUUGGAGGAGCUACGCCCUUUGCCUCCACAUACCAACACCUACAAGUCUAUAGGCAUCCUCUCUCUCUCUCUCUCUCUCUCUCUCUCUCUCUCUCUGUCUGAGUAGCUUCUUCUUCUUUUGUCUAACUUGUAGUUCUGGUCUUUGUUUUUCAGGAAGAACGUGAGUGGUUUAACCUAAUAAUCCUUUCAACUUUUCCAAGGAUGAUAUAUAGUUUUUGCUUCAUUAACAGGUUUCUUCUAGAGCCCAAGACUGUACUAGAGGGUGAGCAAGAGCAGAAACUCAAGGAUAGUGAGGCUACAAUUGCUUCUCUUCAGGUACACAUCCGUUUAAUGAUUUGAUUAGUUAUAUUAGG